This 647-nucleotide unclassified non-coding RNA is filed under the name uncultured Prochlorococcus sp. RNAcentral's name for it is "partial 16S-23S ribosomal RNA intergenic spacer; may also contain 16S ribosomal RNA and 23S ribosomal RNA". The stretch from base 1 to 94 matches the Rfam family "Bacterial small subunit ribosomal RNA", at positions 1440 to 1533 of the family's 1533-position model. Lineage: Bacteria; Bacillati; Cyanobacteriota; Cyanophyceae; Synechococcales; Prochlorococcaceae. The record is from RNAcentral.
CUUGUGGAGGAGGACGCCGAAGGUGGGGCUAAUGACUGGGGUGAAGUCGUAACAAGGUAGCCGUACCGGAAGGUGCGGCUGGAUCACCUCCUAACAGGGAGACAACAAAAUGUUUAAUAUUAUUAUUUUGUCACCUUAGGUCGAUCGGUAUCUCACGUUUUUAAUUUAUUAAAAAUUUCAUUUCCUAAGUUUUUCUAGGUCACACCCAUUAUUUUUCCUGGGCCAUUAGCUCAGGUGGUUAGAGCGCACCCCUGAUAAGGGUGAGGUCCCUGGUUCAAGUCCAGGAUGGCCCAUAUCUCUAUGUUGGGGGUAUAGCUCAGUUGGUAGAGCGCCUGCUUUGCAAGCAGGAUGUCAACGGUUCGAGUCCGCUUACCUCCACUGAUUACCACCUCUUCCAUAACCGGUAGAAAGGAAAUGUUUUGAGUUGUGAUCAAAUUCUGAAAGAAUCUAGCUUCCUAAUGAAAUCAUUAAGAUGCUGGACUCAUUGAAUUAAUUUCAUUGUUUUCAGAGAACCUUGACAACUGCAUAGAUUAUUUUUAAAGACAAUAAGCAUCUUUAAUGAUGCAGAUUUAUUAUUUGUGCGAAUGCAUUAAUAACAAUUCUAUUAAGCUGAUGCUUCAAUUUUGAAGUUAUUGGUCAAGCUACAA